CGCAUCUGUGCAUGCAGCAUAUCAAUAAGCGGAGGAAAAGAAACUAACAAGGAUUCCCCUAGUAACGGCGAGUGAAGCGGGAAGAGCUCAAAUUUGAAAUCUUAAAGGGUUUCCCUUUACGAAUUGUAGUUUAAAGAAGUGUUUUCUGUUGAGGUUUUGGUAAAAGUUCUUUGGAAUAGGACAUCAUAGAGGGUGAGAAUCCCGUAUUUGACCAUUACUUUCAGCUGUGUGAUACACUUUCAAAGAGUCGGAUUGUUUGGGAAUGCAGUCCAAAAUGGGUGGUAAAUUUCAUCUAAAGCUAAAUAUUGGCGAGAGACCGAUAGCGAACAAGUACCGUGAGGGAAAGAUGAAAAGAACUUUGAAAAGAGAGUUAAACUAGUACGUGAAAUUGUCAAAAGGGAAGCGUUUGACACCAGUGUUGUUUUUCUGAAAAUCAAUUAAAGAACUGUUUAUGCUAAGUUGUUUAGACUUUAUCAGCUAAUCUGCUUAGUUUUGAGCUUUUCUUUAAUGCACUUUUCAGUUAACAAGUCAACAUCAAUUUCUUUUGCUGUAAAAAAGCUUGAGGAAGGUGGCUUGAGAUUCGUCUUAAGUGUUUAUAGCCUCUUGCCUAUGCAGUCGGAGAGAUUGAGGUCUGCAGCGUAGAUCCUUCGGGGCUAAAUGCAUUUGUGCUAAGUUAUAGCAUUUUAUAGACAACUUGUUGACUAUGAUUUGUCUUGUAGCUUACUCGCUUAUGUUAUUUUACCUACGCUUAGGAUGUUGACGAGACUGUCGAUCUC
Molecule: ribosomal RNA, 776 nt
Filed under: uncultured Neocallimastigales
Lineage: Eukaryota; Fungi; Neocallimastigomycota; Neocallimastigomycetes; Neocallimastigales
Description: partial large subunit ribosomal RNA
Rfam family: Eukaryotic large subunit ribosomal RNA
Source: RNAcentral